GUCGCAUCGGUUCGAUAGGGAUACUCAUCAAAUAAUUCUGAAAACCGAGAUAGCUUCUUUUGUCAAUGGCGGGCCAUUACUCCUGAUGGCAUAAACACUUCGGGUGACAUCACAUCAGGUACAAAGACGGGGAGUCCUCAAAUCCUUUUUAAACGGAGUUUUCAUCACAUCAUCGAUGCGACCACUU
RNAcentral lists this small RNA (187 nucleotides) under uncultured Prevotella sp. Its description in RNAcentral is "Bacteroidales-1 6S-Bacteroidales RNA suggested". It matches the Rfam family "Bacteroidales-1 6S-Bacteroidales RNA suggested". The record is from RNAcentral. Lineage: Bacteria; Pseudomonadati; Bacteroidota; Bacteroidia; Bacteroidales; Prevotellaceae.